AAUUGAGAAAAAUGGAAAAAAGAGGGCAAAACGGGAAGAAAUCCCGGAGGGGAAGCAGAGCCGCCUGCGCGGAUGCUGCACACUAUGUGCUCAUGCAUGUAUGCAAAGCAGACGUGGGAUGUGCGCACUGCCAUAUGUCCCAUCCACACGCACGUGCGCAUGGGACGUGCACACACUGUGUAAGUCCUGUCCGCGCACACGGCGAGGGGACAGGUCCUGCGCGAGUCUUGUGGCGCACAG
Molecule: long non-coding RNA, 240 nt
Filed under: Carica papaya (papaya)
Lineage: Eukaryota; Viridiplantae; Streptophyta; Magnoliopsida; Brassicales; Caricaceae
Description: long non-coding RNA (CPAP_LNC008305)
Source: RNAcentral